UCAGUUAUUCUGCAGUCUGACAGGUGAGUGUGUCAGUUAUUCUGCAGUCUGACAGGUGAGAGUGUCAGUUAUUCUGCAGUCUGACAGGUGAGCGUGUCAGUUAUUCUGCAGUCUGACAGGUGAGCGUGUCAGUUAUUCUGCAGUCUGACAGGUGAGCGUGUCAGUUAUUCUGCAGUCUGACAGGUGAGCGUGUCAGUUAUUCUGCAGUCUGACAGGUGAGCGUGUCAGUUAUUCUGCAGUCUGACAGGUGAGCGUGUCAGUUAUUCUGCAGUCUGACAGGUGAGUGUGUCAGUUAUUCUGCAGUCUGACAGGUGAGUGUGUCAGUUAUUCUGCAGUCUGACAGGUGAGUGUGUCAGUUAUUCUGCAGUCUGACAGGUGAGCGUGUCAGUUAUUCUGCAGUCUGACAGGUGAGCGUGUCAGUUAUUCUGCAGUCUGACAGGUGAGCGUGUCAGUUAUUCUGCAGUCUGACAGGUGAGUGUGUCAGUUAUUCUGCAGUCUGACAGGUGAGUGUGUCAGUUAUUCUGCAGUCUGACAGGUGAGAGUGUCAGUUAUUCUGCAGUCUGACAGGUGAGUGUGUCAGUUAUUC
Molecule: long non-coding RNA, 586 nt
Organism: Apodemus sylvaticus (European woodmouse)
Lineage: Eukaryota; Metazoa; Chordata; Mammalia; Rodentia; Muridae
Exons: 7
Source: RefSeq, a predicted model, not a curated record